RNAcentral lists this ribosomal RNA (260 nucleotides) under uncultured Enterococcaceae bacterium. RNAcentral describes it as "partial 16S ribosomal RNA". It matches the Rfam family "Bacterial small subunit ribosomal RNA", at positions 524 to 785 of the family's 1533-position model. Lineage: Bacteria; Bacillati; Bacillota; Bacilli; Lactobacillales; Enterococcaceae. The record is from RNAcentral.
UACGUAGGUGGCAAGCGUUGUCCGGAUUUAUUGGGCGUAAAGCGAGCGCAGGCGGUUUCUUAAGUCUGAUGUGAAAGCCCCCGGCUCAACCGGGGAGGGUCAUUGGAAACUGGGAGACUUGAGUGCAGAAGAGGAGAGUGGAUUCCAUGUGUAGCGGUGAAAUGCGUAGAUAUAUGGAGGACACCAGUGGCGAAGGCGGCUCUCUGGUCUGUAACUGACGCUGAGGCUCGAAAGCGUGGGGAGCAAACAGGAUUAGAUAC